Molecule: ribosomal RNA, 253 nt
Filed under: uncultured bacterium
Lineage: Bacteria
Description: partial 16S ribosomal RNA
Rfam family: Bacterial small subunit ribosomal RNA
Source: RNAcentral
GACGGAGGAUGCAAGUGUUAUCCGGAAUCACUGGGCGUAAAGCGUCUGUAGGUGGUUCGAAAAGUCCACUGUUAAAAAUUGAGGCUUAACUUCAAAGAUGCCGUGGAAACUUUCAAACUAGAGUAUGGUAGGGGUAGGGGGAAUUUCCAGUGGAGCGGUGAAAUGCGUAGAUAUUGGAAAGACCACCGAUGGCGAAGGCACUCUACUGGGCCAUUACUGACACUGAGAGACGAAAGCUAGGGGAGCAAAUGGG